GAUGAACGCUGGCGGCGUGCCUAAUACAUGCAAGUCGAGCGGCAGCGCGAGUAGUUUACUACUUGGCGGCGAGCGGCGGACGGCUGAGUAACGCGUAGGAACAUACCCCAAAGUGAGGGAUAAGCACCAGAAAUGGUGUCUAAUACCGCAUGUGAUCUAAGGAUUAAAGCUUCGGCGCUUUGGGAAUGGCCUGCGUAUGAUUAGCUUGUUGGUGAGGUAAAAGCUCACCAAGGCGAUGAUCAUUAGCUGGUCUGAGAGGAUGAUCAGCCAGACUGGGACUGAGACACGGCCCAGACUCCUACGGGAGGCAGCAGUAGGGAAUCUUCCGCAAUGGACGAAAGUCUGACGGAGCAACGCCGCGUGAGUGAUGAAGGCUUUCGGGUCGUAAAACUCUGUUGUUAGGGAAGAACAAGUGCUAGUUGAAUAAGCUGGCACCUUGACGGUACCUAACCAGAAAGCCACGGCUAACUACGUGCCAGCAGCCGCCGUAA
This 491-nucleotide ribosomal RNA is filed under the name uncultured bacterium. Its description in RNAcentral is "partial 16S ribosomal RNA". It matches the Rfam family "Bacterial small subunit ribosomal RNA", at positions 28 to 523 of the family's 1533-position model. The record is from RNAcentral.